AUUGAACGCUGGCGGCAUGCUUUACACAUGCAAGUCGAACGGUAACAGGUUAAGCUGACGAGUGGCGAACGGGUGAGUAAUGCAUCGGAACGUGCCCGGUCGUGGGGGAUAACGCAGCGAAAGCUGCGCUAAUACCGCAUACGAUCUGAGGAUGAAAGCGGGGGACCAUAAGGCCUCGCGCGAUCGGAGCGGCCGAUGUCAGAUUAGGUAGUUGGUGGGGUAAAGGCUCACCAAGCCAGCGAUCUGUAGCUGGUCUGAGAGGACGACCAGCCAGACUGGGACUGAGACACGGCCCAGACUCCUACGGGAGGCAGCAGUGGGGAAUUUUGGACAAUGGGCGAAAGCCUGAUCCAGCAAUGCCGCGUGCAGGAAGAAGGCCUUCGGGUUGUAAACUGCUUUUGUACGGAGCGAAAAGGUCUCCUCUAAUACAGGGGGCUCAUGACGGUACCGUAAGAAUAAGCACCGGCUAACUACGUGCCAGCCGCCGCCGUAA
Molecule: ribosomal RNA, 493 nt
Filed under: uncultured bacterium
Lineage: Bacteria
Description: partial 16S ribosomal RNA
Rfam family: Bacterial small subunit ribosomal RNA
Source: RNAcentral